GGUUCGAUUCUGGCUCAGAUUGAACGCUGGCGUUUUACACAUGCAAGUCGAACGGCAGCACGGACUUCGGUCUGGUGGCGAGUGCGAACGGGUGAGUAAUGUAUCGGAACGUGCCUAGUAGCGGGGGAUAAUCCACAAGCGAAAGCGUAGCUACCGCAUACGCCCUUCGGGGAAAGCGGGGACCUUCGGGCCUCGCACUAGAGCGGCCGAUAUCGGAUUAGCUAGUUGGUGGGGUAACGGCUCACCAAGGCGACGAUCCGUAGCUAUCGAGGACGACCAGCCACACUGGGACUGAGACACGGCCCAGACUCCUACGGGAGGCAGCAGUGGGGAAUUUGGACAAAUGGGGGAAACUCCCCAUCCAGCCAUCCCGCGUGUGCGAUGAAGGCCUUCAGUUGUAAAGCACUUUUGGCAGGAAAGAAACGGCACGGGAUAAUACCCGUGCAACUGACGGUGCCUGCAGAAUAAGCACCGGCUAACUACGUGCCAGCAGCCGCGUAUGGUAGGGGUGCAAGCGUUAAUCGGAAUUACUGGGCGUAAAGCGUGCGCAGGCGGUUCGGAAAGAAAGAUGUGAAAUCCCAGAGCUUAACUUUGGAACUGCAUUUUUAACUACCGAGCUAGAGUGUGUCAGAGGGAGGUGGAAUUCCGGCGUGUAGCAGGAAAUGCGUGAUAUGCGGAGGAACACCGAUGUAUAGCGCAGCCUCCUGAUAACACUGACGCUCAUGCACGAAAGCGUGGGGAGCAAACAGGAUUAGAUACCCUGGUAGUCCACGCCCUAAACGAUGUCAACUAGCUGUUGGGGCUUCGGGCCUUGGUAGCGCAGCUAACGUGAAGUUGACCGCCUGGGGAGUACGGGUCGCAAGAUUAAAACUCAAAGGAAUUGACGGGGACCCGCACAAGCGGUGGAUGAUGUGGAUUAAUUCGAUGCAACGCGAAAACCCACUCACCCUUGACAUGUCUGGAAUCCCGAAGAGAUUUGGGAGUGCUCGCAAGAGAACCGGAACACAGGUGCUGUGGCUGGUUUGUCGUCAGCUCGUGUCGGGGAGAUGUUGGGUUAAGUCCCGCAACGAGCGCAACCCUUGUCAUUAGCUGCUACGAAAGGGCACUCUAAUGAGACUGCCGGUGACAAACCGGAGGAAGGUGGGGAUGACGUCAAGUCCUCACGGCCCUUAUGGGCUUCACACGUCAUACAAUGUCGGGACAGAGGGUCGCCAACCUGCGAGGGGGAGCCAAUCCCAGAAACCCGAUCGUAGUCCGGAUCGCAGUCUGCAACUCGACUGCGGAAGUCGGAAUCGCUAGUAAUCGUGGAUCAGCAUGCUGUGAAUACGUUCCGGGUCUUGUACACACCGCCCGUCACACCAUGCGGGAGGGGGUUUUACCAGAAGUAGUUAGCCUAACCGUAAGGAGGCUAAGAUUAAUACGGUAGGAUUCAUGACUGGGGUGAAGUCGUAACAAGGUAA
RNAcentral lists this ribosomal RNA (1460 nucleotides) under uncultured Bordetella sp. RNAcentral's name for it is "partial 16S-23S ribosomal RNA intergenic spacer". It matches the Rfam family "Bacterial small subunit ribosomal RNA". Lineage: Bacteria; Pseudomonadati; Pseudomonadota; Betaproteobacteria; Burkholderiales; Alcaligenaceae. The record is from RNAcentral.